This 327-nucleotide ribosomal RNA is filed under the name uncultured eukaryote. RNAcentral describes it as "bacterial SSU rRNA". It matches the Rfam family "Eukaryotic small subunit ribosomal RNA", at positions 592 to 1018 of the family's 1831-position model. The record is from RNAcentral.
CAAUAGCGUAUAUUAAAUUUGCUGCGGUUAAAAGCUCGUAGUUGGAUUUCUGCUGAGGACUUUUACUUUGAGGAAAUUAAAGUGUUUCAAGCAGGCGCACGCCUUGAAUACAUUAGCAUGGAAUAAUAAGAUAGAACCUUGGUUCUAUUUUGUUGGUUUCUAGAGCUGAGGUAAUGAUUAAUAGGGAUAGUUGGGGGCAUUCUUAUUUAACUGUCAGAGGUACAAUUCUUGGAUUUGUUAAAGACGGACUACUGCGAAAGCAUUUGCCAAGGAUGUUUUCAUUGCUCAAGAACGAAAGUUUGGGGAUCGAAGACGAUUAGAUACCGU